GUGGUACGAGAUAAUGAGUCCUAUUUUUCUCUCACAUAAUAUGCAUUUGCUCUCCUAGGACAGUGUAAUACAUUUAUGUGAAGUAAAGACAUGCGAGACUGGUGGCCUGCAAAUAGCAUCCGUUGAUCUGUGUUAACUGCAUAGGGAGGGCUCUGCAUAGCACCUGCUAUAGCGGUGUCAUGUUGGAUCGCUUUUGUGACUGUUCAUCUGUCCUUGACAGUGGCUGUCAUCUUGACUACUUUGUUGAUUUGUUGGUAUUGGGGACAUUUUAAAGGCUGAGUUAUUUUUGAAUGUCAUGUUUAUGUCAUAGACGUAGUUUUCGCAUCCUUGAAUUAAACUGCCUUAACUCCUUUUGUGGUAUAAGCAAAACUACAUGGACUCUGUCCUGGUAUCCUUUUCCUGUGUGGUUGCCCCGUGUCCUCUGGCC
This 427-nucleotide long non-coding RNA is filed under the name Homo sapiens (human). RNAcentral describes it as "non-protein coding lnc-FAM184B-4:1". Lineage: Eukaryota; Metazoa; Chordata; Mammalia; Primates; Hominidae. The record is from RNAcentral.